UAAUUCUCAUGCGAGGUUAGAAGUUAAAUCUUAGUGAUGAUAUAUACUAAGGUUUGCAUUGUAGUUAAGGAAAAAAUGACCUAUGUAACAGAGCAUUGUCAGAUAUAUUUAGGUGAUCAUAGAAUGUUGAUUCCUGACUGUAUGAAAUUUGUUGCUUGUCUGUGUUUGUCCAAAUAACUAGUUGUAGCAAGCCUGAUGUUUAGAGAGAAAAAUAAUAAAAUUUUCUCCGCGUGGGAAAAGAGAGUGUGGGCAUGCUAGUAUACUAAGUACACAAAAAUAAAUAGAUAAAUAUUAGGGAAACACAAACUUUAUUCAUAUUUAAUAAAAUACGAAUAGAGGUUCAGACUGCUUUGCACAAUACUCCACCCACUAGCCAACUUGACCUCACACCAAUUAUUGCAUAUUUACUUAGUACAAUUCUUAUGAGUAUGCCUCAAUAGUCUAAAUAGUAUCUCAAGGUAUUACCGUGAAUGUCUCAAACAAUAUCCUUACGGGGGUAAAUUUAAUUUUUAAGUGUCUCAAAUAUGUCUUC
Molecule: long non-coding RNA, 532 nt
Filed under: Setaria viridis
Lineage: Eukaryota; Viridiplantae; Streptophyta; Magnoliopsida; Poales; Poaceae
Description: long non-coding RNA (SVIR_LNC006259)
Source: RNAcentral